Molecule: long non-coding RNA, 1142 nt
Filed under: Anas platyrhynchos platyrhynchos (common mallard)
Lineage: Eukaryota; Metazoa; Chordata; Aves; Anseriformes; Anatidae
Description: lncRNA (ENSAPLG00000018083.1)
Source: RNAcentral
AGGGUUAAAAGGGGGCGUGGCUUGAGAAAGGGGGCGUGGUCUGAUGUAGGGGGUGUGGCCUAUGAGGUGGGCGGGGCCUGUGGGGGGCGUGGCUUGGAGGGGGAGGCUGUGAUUGGCUGAUACACGGUGGGGGUGGGGUUUUAGCUGGUCCUUAAAGGGUUAAAAGGGGGCGUGGCUUCGCGUAGGGGGCGUGGCCUGGUGGGUGUGGCCUAAAGCAGGGGGCGUGGCCUGAGGUGGGCGUGGCUUGUGCAAAGGGGGCGUGGCCUUGGGUAUAGGGAAAGCCCCCAAUAGGUCCAGGGGGGCGUGGCCUCACAGAGGGGGCGUGGCUUCGCGGAAAGGGGCGUGGCUUGGAGAAGAGGGGGGCGUGGCCUCUCCCAGGGUGGUUUUUUUGGGGUAAAUUUUGGCCGUUUAGGUGCUGGAGAAGUCGCGCCCCAUGGAGCUGCGCCUGCGCUACCACCUGGACAAGCUGCUGCGGGCGGCCGCCGCCGGGGCACCGGGAGCCAACGACCCGCUGCGCUUCCGGCCCCAGCCCGGGAACAUGGGGGAUGAAGAGGAGGAGGAGGAGGAGGAUGAGGAGGGGCCAAGUGGGACGAAGGCCCCGGGGCUGGGCGGGGGGCGGCGCUAUGUGCCCCCCCGCCUGGUGCCCGUGCAGUACGUUUCCCCCCAAAAUACCCCUAAUCCUCCCAUAAUCCCCCUAAUUCCCCCGUUUUUAUUCCCAAUCCCCCGAUACUGCCACCCCAAUCCCCACAAUCCCUCUUUAAUCCCCCUAAUCCGGCAAUAAUCCCCCAAAUCCCACCAUUAUUCCCCAUAAUCCCUCUAUAAUUCCUACAUUUUCCCCCAAAACCCCUCUUAAUUCCUCCAUAAUUCCACCUAAUGCCCCUUAAUCCCACCCCAACCCCCAUAAUCCCAUCUAAUCCCCCUUAAUCCCACCCUUAUUGCCCCUAAUCCCCCUUAAUGCCACCCUUUUUCCCCAUAAUUCCUCCAUCUCUUCAUUUUCCCCCAUAACCCUCCCCUAAUCCCUCCAUAACCCCUCCUCAUGCCCCAUAAUCCCACCCCAACCCCUCAUAAUCCCAAUCCCCCCAUAAUCCCCUCUAAUCCCCCUUAAUCCCACCCUAAUUCCCCUUAAUCCCACUUUUAUUCCC